AACGCUGGCGGCAGGCCUAACACAUGCAAGUCGAGCGGUAGAGAGAAGCUUGCUUCUCUUGAGAGCGGCGGACGGGUGAGUAAUGCCUAGGAAUCUGCCUGGUAGUGGGGGAUAACGUUCGGAAACGGACGCUAAUACCGCAUACGUCCUACGGGAGAAAGCAGGGGACCUUCGGGCCUUGCGCUAUCAGAUGAGCCUAGGUCGGAUUAGCUAGUUGGUGGGGUAAUGGCUCACCAAGGCGACGAUCCGUAACUGGUCUGAGAGGAUGAUCAGUCACACUGGAACUGAGACACGGUCCAGACUCCUACGGGAGGCAGCAGUGGGGAAUAUUGGACAAUGGGCGAAAGCCUGAUCCAGCCAUGCCGCGUGUGUGAAGAAGGUCUUCGGAUUGUAAAGCACUUUAAGUUGGGAGGAAGGGCAGUAAAUUAAUACUUUGCUGUUUUGACGUUACCGACAGAAUAAGCACCGGCUAACUCUGUGUUGCACGGAUUAA
Molecule: ribosomal RNA, 493 nt
Filed under: uncultured bacterium
Lineage: Bacteria
Description: bacterial SSU rRNA
Rfam family: Bacterial small subunit ribosomal RNA
Source: RNAcentral